Molecule: ribosomal RNA, 274 nt
Filed under: uncultured bacterium
Lineage: Bacteria
Description: partial 16S ribosomal RNA
Rfam family: Bacterial small subunit ribosomal RNA
Source: RNAcentral
AUACGGAGGGGGCUAGCGUUGUUCGGAAUUACUGGGCGUAAAGCGCGCGUAGGCGGAUCGUUAAGUCAGGGGUGAAAGCCCGGAGCUCAACUCCGGAACUGCCCUUGAUACUGGCGAUCUCGAGUCCGGGAGAGGUGAGCGGAAUUCCUAGUGUAGAGGUGAAAUUCGUAGAUAUUAGGAUGAACACCAGUGGCGAAGGCGGCUCACUGGCCCGGUACUGACGCUGAGGUGCGAAAGCGUGGGGAGCAAACAGGAUUAGAAACCCUAGUAGUCC